Molecule: long non-coding RNA, 813 nt
Filed under: Jatropha curcas
Lineage: Eukaryota; Viridiplantae; Streptophyta; Magnoliopsida; Malpighiales; Euphorbiaceae
Description: long non-coding RNA (JCUR_LNC003341)
Source: RNAcentral
CACUAUUAUGCUUCACUGCUUUUAGCGAUGAAGAGGUAGAAGCUGUGUCGCCUAUCCCAGCUUUGCCACCGAAUCACCACCAUCACCAUCACCACAACCAUGUUCACCCACCGAGUCAUGCCCCUGUUGUCUCUCCCAUGCAUGCUCCAGCUCAUGCACCCGUUCACCCACCAAAGCCGCACCCACACCCACACCCAUCGGUUCAGCCUCCCAUGCACUCUCCAAAACCACACCUACCGGUUAAACCACCAGUUCACCCUCCCGUACACUCUGCACCACCAAAGCCAUUACCACAUCCACACCCACACCCACCAGUUAAACCACCAGCUGAGGCACCGAUCUACCACUUCGAAAGAAGCUUUGUUUCCGUGCAAGGGGUUGUUUAUUGCAAGUCAUGCAAAUAUUCUGGAGUUGAAACUCUCUUGGGAGCUUCACCACUUUCUGGUAAGUCAGUUCUUGACAUUAUUUAUUGAAGUCUUGACUACACAUUGCUCUUAUUUUCCUUUUCUUUUAUGAUUCUGUAUAUGUGAAACUGUUUAAUUUCUUGGAUGUGCAUUUUCAUGGAAAAUGUUCGUUUUUCUUAAAAUUUUAUUUUGAAAGACUUCAUCUUCAUGCAUUGGUUGGUUAAAGAUUGAAAUUUGAGCAAGAAAGAAAGUUGUUUCCUUUUUUCUAGGUGCAUGUAAGACCAAUAGCUUGCUCUCUCUUUUAGGUACAUGAGCUGUUGUCGUAAAUGGAACCCUAUGUUUCACUCCGUGACCAUUUUCAAACUGUAAAAGCAAAAGCAUUGAGAAUCACGUUUGUGCUUUUGACCAG